This 497-nucleotide ribosomal RNA is filed under the name uncultured bacterium. RNAcentral's name for it is "partial 16S ribosomal RNA". It matches the Rfam family "Bacterial small subunit ribosomal RNA", at positions 28 to 507 of the family's 1533-position model. The record is from RNAcentral.
GAUGAACGCUGGCGGCGUGCCUAAUACAUGCAAGUCGAGCGAACAGACGAGGAGCUUGCUCCUCAGACGUUAGCGGCGGACGGGUGAGUAACACGUGGAUAACCUACCUAUAAGACUGGGAUAACUUCGGGAAACCGGAGCUAAUACCGGAUAAUAUAUUGAACCUCAUGGUUCAAUAGUGAAAGACUGUUUUGCUGUCACUUAUAGAUGGAUCCGCGCCGCUUUAUCUAGUUGGUAAGGUAACGGCUUACCAAGGCAACGAUGCGUAGCCGACCUGAGAGGUUGAUCGGCCACACUGGAACUGAGACACGGUCCAGACUCCUACGGGAGGCAGAAGAAGGGAAUCUUCCGAAAUGGGCGAAAGCCGGACGGAGCAACGCCGCGUGGGUGAUGAAGGUCUUCGGAUCGUAAAACUCUGUGAUUAGGGAAGAACAAAUGUGUAAGUAACUAUGCACGUCUUGACGGUACCUAAUCAGAAAGCCACGGCUAACUACGUG